This 145-nucleotide ribosomal RNA is filed under the name Escherichia sp. E4694. RNAcentral describes it as "partial 23S ribosomal RNA". It matches the Rfam family "Bacterial large subunit ribosomal RNA", at positions 2798 to 2925 of the family's 2925-position model. Lineage: Bacteria; Pseudomonadati; Pseudomonadota; Gammaproteobacteria; Enterobacterales; Enterobacteriaceae. The record is from RNAcentral.
CCCGAGAUGAGUUCUCCCUGACUCUUUAAGUCUCCUGAAGGAACGUUGAAGACGACGACGUUGAUAGGCCGGGUGUGUAAGCGCAGCGAUGCGUUGAGCUAACCGGUACUAAUGAACCGUGAGGCUUAACCUUACAACGCCGAAG